AGACUCCUACGGGAGGCAGCAGUGGGGAAUAUUGCACAAUGGGCGCAAGCCUGAUGCAGCAACGCCGCGUGAGGGACGACGGCCUUCGGGUUGUAAACCUCUUUUAGCAGGGAAGAAGCGAAAGUGACGGUACCUGCAGAAAAAGCGCCGGCUAACUACGUGCCAGCAGCCGCGGUAAUACGUAGGGCGCAAGCGUUAUCCGGAAUUAUUGGGCGUAAAGAGCUCGUAGGCGGUUUGUCGCGUCUGCUGUGAAAUCCGGAGGCUCAACCUCCGGCCUGCAGUGGGUACGGGCAGACUAGAGUGCGGUAGGGGAGAUUGGAAUUCCUGGUGUAGCGGUGGAAUGCGCAGAUAUCAGGAGGAACACCGAUGGCGAAGGCAGAUCUCUGGGCCGUAACUGACGCUGAGGAGCGAAAGGGUGGGGAGCAAACAGGCUUAGAUACCCUGGUAGUCCACCCCGUAAACGUUGGGAACUAGUUGUGGGGUCCAUUCCACGGAUUCCGUGACGCAGCUAACGCAUUAAGUUCCCCGCCUGGGGAGUACGGCCGCAAGGCUAAAACUCAAAGGAAUUGACGGGGACCCGCACAAGCGGCGGAGCAUGCGGAUUAAUUCGAUGCAACGCGAAGAACCUUACCAAGGCUUGACAUAUACGAGAACGGGCCAGAAAUGGUCAACUCUUUGGACACUCGUAAACAGGUGGUGCAUGGUUGUCGUCAGCUCGUGUCGUGAGAUGUUGGGUUAAGUCCCGCAACGAGCGCAACCCUCGUUCUAUGUUGCCAGCACGUAAUGGUGGGAACUCAUGGGAUACUGCCGGGGUCAACUCGGAGGAAGGUGGGGAUGACGUCAAAUCAUCAUGCCCCUUAUGUCUUGGGCUUCACGCAUGCUACAAUGGCCGGUACAAAGGGCUGCAAUACCGCGAGGUGGAGCGAAUCCCAAAAAGCCGGUCCCAGUUCGGAUUGAGGUCUGCAACUCGACCUCAUGAAGUCGGAGUCGCUAGUAAUCGCAGAUCAGCAACGCUGCGGUGAAUACGUUCCCGGGUCUUGUACACACCGCCCGUCAAGUCAUGAAAGUCGGUAACACCUGAAGC
RNAcentral lists this ribosomal RNA (1084 nucleotides) under Microbacterium sp. RNAcentral's name for it is "bacterial SSU rRNA". It matches the Rfam family "Bacterial small subunit ribosomal RNA", at positions 333 to 1427 of the family's 1533-position model. The record is from RNAcentral. Lineage: Bacteria; Bacillati; Actinomycetota; Actinomycetes; Micrococcales; Microbacteriaceae.